This 1318-nucleotide long non-coding RNA is filed under the name Nicotiana tabacum (common tobacco). Its description in RNAcentral is "long non-coding RNA (NTAB_LNC011399)". Lineage: Eukaryota; Viridiplantae; Streptophyta; Magnoliopsida; Solanales; Solanaceae. The record is from RNAcentral.
AAUAACCUUAGGAAUUAAUAAAUUAAAGUAAAUAUGCAUAUUACUUAACCAUAUUUAAGCGUUAAAAAGUGUUUAUGUAAGACAUGUCUCUCAUUCAUUAGCUUGGUGUAAUCACCUAACACGAUGUAUAGAGUUUAGCACUUGUCCGGUGCUGGAAGGUCAGAAGGAGAAUGUUAUAAGCUUUGAAUGAAAGUCCCGGUAAACGGCGGCAGUAACUCUAACUGUCAUAAGAUAGCGAAAUUUCUUGUCGCACAACGCGGGUAAGUUUUUACAGUGAUGGAAUGGGUGUCCUUUUUUUUGGUAAGUUCAAAACGUUUAUAUACUAAUAUAAUUUUUACAUUAUCAUUCGCUGUUGAGAUCGUAAUCGGCCUACAUCAACAUAAAAUGAAACUAUUAAACUAAGGGUGAGUCGUUUUAUUUGGACGAGAACAAUUGCUUAAUAGGCACUUCUUUGUUUCCCUAAAUUGAUACACUAGUAGGUAGCCCAACUAGUUUAUGUAUAAUUCUCAGUAGACAUCAAUAGCUACUGUAAAUCAGAUACCUAGAUAUCUAUUUCUUCCAUUUAAAAAUUACACAUUUUGGACUAUUGGUGACAGCAUGAUUGCACAAGAAGGAUAAGCCUAAUUUAAUUUGUAUGUUCAUAAGUACCGUUCGUUUUAACUUUUGGAUUCAAUCUUAUUUUAUCUUGCUGUUAUUCCUACUUGUUACAAUUACCUUUUCAAAACUGCAUUCUUGGAUUCGAUCUUAUUUCAUCUUGCUGUUAUUCUUAUUUAUUGCAAUUACCUUUUCUUUUUCCGAUGUUUUCUAGCCGAGGGUCUAUUGGAAACAACCCCUCUGCCCUUCCAGGGGUUAACUAAUGGGUUUGUUGUUGUUCAUAAGCACCGUUCGUUUAAAUUUGGUAAACAAGUCCAAUCGAAGUCAUUGAAUUUUGAGUCCAGAGACAUCACGAAACAGCAUGAGCAAAGAACCGAUGUUAACAUGAGAUUAAAGGACUAUAAACAUGAAAGACAGUGCACAUAUUCAAAGAUCAAAGUACCAGCUUUUACACCAGAUUAUAAAUUGACAAGGCUACAUUCAGUAUUAAAUUUGCUCACACACAAGCAAAUUAAGCAAACUCCAAGGGUUAAACACUAACAGCUAAAAGGAUCAUCAUUAAAGUUUCUUGAUCAGUGCAGGUAAGGAGCCUGGUAAUGGUAGCCAUUUCCAAAGAAGUCAUGGCCAGGAGAAAAGUUGUAAACAGCAGCACCCAUGAAUAAAGGAACAUGGUUGCUGGUCGGUCCAGGGUGAGCAUAUGGUCUGUCAUAAACGGAUUGCGGGC